Molecule: ribosomal RNA, 484 nt
Filed under: uncultured bacterium
Lineage: Bacteria
Description: partial 16S ribosomal RNA
Rfam family: Bacterial small subunit ribosomal RNA
Source: RNAcentral
AUUGAACGCUGGCGGCAGGCCUAACACAUGCAAGUCGAGCGGAUGAAGGGAGCUUGCUCCUGGAUUCAGCGGCGGACGGGUGAGUAAUGCCUAGGAAUCUGCCUGGUAGUGGGGGAUAACGUCCGGAAACGUGCGCUAAUACCGCAUACGCCCUGAGGGAGAAAGUGGGGGAUCUUCGGACCUCACGCUAUCAGAUGAGCCUAGGUCGGAUUAGCUAGUUGGUGGGGUAAAGGCCUACCAAGGCGACGAUCCGUAACUGGUCUGAGAGGAUGAUCAGUCACACUGGAACUGAGACACGGUCCAGACUCCUACGGGAGGCAGCAGUGGGGAAUAUUGGACAAUGGGCGAAAGCCUGAUCCAGCCAUGCCGCGUGUGUGAAGAAGGUCUUCGGAUUGUAAAGCACUUUAAGUUGGGAGGAAGGGCAGUAAGUUAAUACCUUGCUGUUUUGACGUUACCAACAGAAUAAGCACCGGCUAACUUCGUG